AGCGAACGUUUGCGGCGGGCCUAACACAUGCAAGUCGAACGGGCAGGGGCAACCCUGUCAGUGGCGCACGGGUGCGUAACACGUGGGUAAUCAACCCUUUGGACUGGGACAACCCGGGGAAACUCGGGCUAAUACCGGAUGUGGCGUGGCGGUCCUCGGACUGCUCCGCGAAAGCUCCGCAAGGGGCACCAGAGGACGAGCCCGCGUCCCAUCAGCUAGUUGGUGAGGUAAUGGCUCACCAAGGCGAAGACGGGUAGCUGGUCUGAGAGGAUGAUCAGCCACACUGGAACUGAGACACGGUCCAGACUCCUACGGGAGGCAGCAGUGGGGAAUAUUGCGCAAUGGGCGAAAGCCUGACGCAGCCACGCCGCGUGUGCGAUGAAGGUCUUCGGAUCGUAAAGCACUGUGGGGGGAGAAGAAACAAGCCGGUGAAGAGCCGGCCCUGACGGUAUCCCCUUAGCAAGCACCGGCUAACUCCGUGCCAGCAGCCGCGGUAAAGUG
RNAcentral lists this ribosomal RNA (501 nucleotides) under uncultured bacterium. RNAcentral describes it as "bacterial SSU rRNA". It matches the Rfam family "Bacterial small subunit ribosomal RNA", at positions 29 to 527 of the family's 1533-position model. The record is from RNAcentral.